Molecule: long non-coding RNA, 438 nt
Filed under: Rosa chinensis
Lineage: Eukaryota; Viridiplantae; Streptophyta; Magnoliopsida; Rosales; Rosaceae
Description: sRNA RchiOBHm_Chr2g0121641
Source: RNAcentral
UUGGUACAGAAUAUGAGCAUGUUAGGAUAAGUUUUGAUUCAUAAAAGCCCAUGUGAGAUAUUUGAGCCAUGUCCCUUUUUCUUGGAGUGAUAAUUGAAAAAUAUAUUCUUAAUUUCUUGGCGAUAUUAAGUUUGAUGGACUAGAGAAUGCUAGAAUUCGCUCUUGUGCUUGUUGAGACUUUUGUCAAUACAUGGCCCUGAUUCUGGAAGGGAUAGAGGCAACCUAGGAAUUACCACCAUUGCCAAAUAAGCAUGUGUCCCUAUUUGUGCCCGUCGUGGGACUCCCUUAGAUAAACCCCUUUGAGCUUACAUUAAGCCUUUUCUUUCAUCACCCUUAAAUCCUUAACCCUGAACCUUAGUAUAGCUACACUCCUACCCUUUGUUCUAAAAACUUAGCGGAGCUAUAUUUUGGGACUUUACUUGAGGAUUUGGCAUUGAG